RNAcentral lists this transfer RNA (70 nucleotides) under Rhinatrema bivittatum (two-lined caecilian). RNAcentral describes it as "tRNA-Pro". It matches the Rfam family "tRNA". From Rfam's summary of the family: Transfer RNA (tRNA) molecules are approximately 80 nucleotides in length. Lineage: Eukaryota; Metazoa; Chordata; Amphibia; Gymnophiona; Rhinatrematidae. The record is from RNAcentral.
CAGGAAGUAGUUUAAUAAGAAUUUUGGCUUUGGGUGCCAAGGGUGGAGGUUAAAAAUCAUCCCUUUUUGA